Molecule: ribosomal RNA, 397 nt
Filed under: uncultured bacterium
Lineage: Bacteria
Description: bacterial SSU rRNA
Rfam family: Bacterial small subunit ribosomal RNA
Source: RNAcentral
AUUGAACGCUGGCGGCAGGCUUAACACAUGCAAGUCGAGCGGGAACGGAGGUAGCUUGCUACCAGACGUCGAGCGGCGAACGGGUGAGUAACGCGUAGGAAUCUACCUAGUAGAGGGGGAGUAGCCCGGGGAAACGUACGGAUUAAUAACCGCAUACGCCCUAACGGGGGAAAGGACAGGGGAGUCUUCGGACCUUGCGCUAUUAGAUGAGCCUGCGUCGGAUUAGCUAGUUGGUAGGGUAAAGGGACCUACCAAGGCGACGAUCCGUAGCUGGUCUGAGAGGAUGAUCAGCCACACUGGAACUGAGACACGGUCCAGACUCCUACGGGAGGCAGCAGUGGGGAAGUAAUUGGACAAUGGGGGCGAACCCUGAUCCAGCCAUGCCGCGUGUGUGAAG